ACGUUCGUUGGGUAGGGGAGCGUUCUGUAAGCCUGUGAAGGUGGCCUGUGAGGGUUGCUGGAGGUAUCAGAAGUGCGAAUGCUGACAUAAGUAACGAUAAAGCGGGUGAAAAGCCCGCUCGCCGGAAGACCAAGGGUUCCUGUCCAACGUUAAUCGGGGCAGGGUGAGUCGACCCCUAAGGCGAGGCCGAAAGGCGUAGUCGAUGGGAAACAGGUUAAUAUUCCUGUACUUGGUGUUACUGCGAAGGGGGGACGGAGAAGGCUAUGUUGGCCGGGCGACGGUUGUCCCGGUUUAAGCGUGUAGGCUGGUUUUCCAGGCAAAUCCGGAAAAUCAAGGCUGAGGCGUGACGACGAGGCACUACGGUGCUGAAGCAACAAAUGCCCUGCUUCCAGGAAAAGCCUCUAAGCAUCAGG
RNAcentral lists this ribosomal RNA (413 nucleotides) under Salmonella enterica subsp. enterica serovar Anatum. Its description in RNAcentral is "bacterial LSU rRNA". It matches the Rfam family "Bacterial large subunit ribosomal RNA", at positions 1217 to 1632 of the family's 2925-position model. Lineage: Bacteria; Pseudomonadati; Pseudomonadota; Gammaproteobacteria; Enterobacterales; Enterobacteriaceae. The record is from RNAcentral.